The sequence is a regulatory RNA element, 89 nucleotides long. It matches the Rfam family "TPP riboswitch aptamer (THI element)". Rfam says of the family: Vitamin B(1) in its active form thiamin pyrophosphate (TPP) is an essential coenzyme that is synthesised by coupling of pyrimidine and thiazole moieties in bacteria. The record is from Rfam.
AAUUACAAGCUGGGGUGCCCUGUGGCUGAGAAAUACCCAUGAACCUGAUCUGGAUUAUACCAGCGUAGGAAGUCUUGUUUUAGCAUUUC